AGAAUCAACGCUGGCGGCGUGCCUAACACAUGCAAGUCGAACGCGAAAGCCCCGCAAGGGUGAGUAGAGUGGCAAACGGGUGAGUAACACGUGGGUGAUCUGCCUCAGAGUGGGGGAUAACGACCCGAAAGGGUCGCUAAUACCGCAUAACAUCCUGCCUUUGGAUAGGUGGAGAUCAAAGUUGGGGAUCCGCAAGGGCCUGACGCUUGGAGAGGAGCCCGCGGCCGAUUAGCUAGUUGGUGAGGUAACGGCUCACCAAGGCAACGAUCGGUAUCCGGCCUGAGAGGGCGACGGACACGACUGGGACUGAGACACGGCCCAGACUCCUACGGGAGCAGCAGUGGGAAUUGUCGCAAUGGGCGCAAGCCUGACGACGCAACGCCGCGUGGAGACGAAGAUUUCGGAUCGUAAACUCUUUCGAGUCGGAAGAACAGCUCAUAGGUUAAUAGCCUGAGAGUCUGACGGUACCGAGAGAAGAAGCCCGGCUAACU
This 491-nucleotide ribosomal RNA is filed under the name uncultured soil bacterium. RNAcentral's name for it is "bacterial SSU rRNA". It matches the Rfam family "Bacterial small subunit ribosomal RNA", at positions 26 to 502 of the family's 1533-position model. The record is from RNAcentral.